CUUUUAAAAACAAUUUCAAAUCGUUUGAAUUGUUAUUAAUCAAAAUUCGUUUAAGCCAAUCUUUUUGAGGAUCAAUUUCUUCUUUUGCAAUUUCUCUUUUUUCAAUAAAAGUUUCAGUGAGGUUAGUACAUAUUAAAUCAUUCAUUUUGCUUUGACUAACUUUUUUAUUUUACCUUUUUUACCUUUUUUACACCUUUUUUACCUUUUUUACACCUUUUUUACCUUUUUUACCUUUUUUACCUUUUUUUUUUUUUUUACCUUUUUUUUUUUUUUACCUUUUUUUUUUUUUUACAAUUUAAUAUUAUAUAUUUUUAACUAUAUUUUAUGUUACUUGUUUGUUUAAUCAUAACAUAUGUAUGAAUAAAAUGCUUAAAUAUACAUAAAACGUGUUUUUAAAUAGUUUUAUAAAAAAGGGAAAAAAAAAAAAUAAUUGGCAGUGUUAUUUAUUACCACAACUACAACUACAACUACCACGAUCACUAUCAAUACUACAGUUAUUUAUUAUUACUAUUAAUAUUCAUAGGAAAAACAAUGCAAUUGUCAAACUAUGGCUACGAUAAAUACAUUAAGCAUUAAUACAUUUUUUUUUUUUUUUUUUUUCAAUUUUACGUUCUUUUAUUUUCAUAAAUAAGAGCUGAAAUGCGGGAUUAAGCACUAUUAACAAUUACUCUUGCGUACUCUUAAAAAAAAGUAUAUUACUGUUAAUUCCAACGCACAUGCACGCACGCAUAUAUGUAUAUAUAUAUAUAUGCACUUAUGUAUAUAGCUAGCUAAAUAAAUAUCCUCAUAAAAUUAUUACAAAAAUGUUAAAAAAAAAAGUUUUAUAGUAACUCUACUUAAUUGUUGAAUGAAUAUAUUUAGCUGAUGAAUUUAUUAAAUUAGUAGAUAUAUAGAUAUGUAUAUAUUUUAAACUUAAGAGGUAAUCACUAAAAAAAAAACUAUUUAAUUUGGAAGAUUUAUUACCCUUACAUUUUAAUUAAAAAGGCUAAGUCAAUUUUUAAUAAAAUAUUAAUAUGUUUAAACCUUUUGUUUAAGUUUUUUUUUUCCUCCCCCAUAACAAUAAUAUAUAAGCGUUUAUACAAGCGUUUAUCCAAGCGUUUAUACAAGCGUUUAUCCAAGCGUUUAUACAAGCGUUUAUCCAAGCGUUUAUACAAGCGUUUAUACAAGCGUUUAUACAAGCGUUUAUACAAGCGUUUAUACAAGCGUUUACCUAAGCGUUUAUACAAACGUGUACACAAACGUUUAUCUAAGCGUUUAUACAAACGUGUACACAAACGUAUAUAAAUCGUUAUCAAUGUUUAUUGUACAUAUUUUUUGUUUUAAAUUAGUGCUUAGAUAAGCACGUUCUUCUAUGUUCGAUAUUUGCUAAUUGCUUCUUCUUUAUUAUAUAUACAGCGAAAAGGAGAGUUUUUUUUUUUUUUUUUUUUUUUUUUUUUUAUUCAGCAUUUUAUAUAACGUUUAAUAUAAUGUUGCCGUUUAAUACAUAAAUAGCUAAAAAGAAUAUUUAAAAUUUAAAAUUUUGUUAUGUUUUUCUUUCUUUUGUGUUUAUUACAGUUUUUUUUUUUGUCAUAAUUUUUUAUAUUAUUUUUUUUUAUUACUUCAGUUGGUAAAUAGAGUUGCGCGAUUUUUUUUUUAUUAAUAAUACUUUUAGUACAUGUUAUAAAUAUAUAUAUAUAUAUAUAUGUAUAUAUUCUUUAUGUAAAAUGUUCUAACACAAAACAUAUACGUUAACAUGUCUCAUAUAUUUUUUUUAGCACAUUUGCAAGUAUAAUAUAUAUAUAUAUAUAUACAACAUUUUUAUUUUUUAUAUUAUAA
This is a long non-coding RNA of Piliocolobus tephrosceles (Ugandan red Colobus), 1815 nucleotides long. Lineage: Eukaryota; Metazoa; Chordata; Mammalia; Primates; Cercopithecidae. The record is from Ensembl.